RNAcentral lists this long non-coding RNA (236 nucleotides) under Nicotiana benthamiana. RNAcentral's name for it is "long non-coding RNA (NBEN_LNC009550)". Lineage: Eukaryota; Viridiplantae; Streptophyta; Magnoliopsida; Solanales; Solanaceae. The record is from RNAcentral.
GCGACGGCGGCUUGACUAGGUUUUCGAUUUCACGGAAUUUAGAGGGGUUUUUGAUGAUUUGGGGCACAGAUUAGGAGAGAGGGUAAAGAGAGGAAGAGAUUGGUGUAGGUUUUAUAGGCUUUGGAAGUUGGCCUCCACCGGUGGCGAAUUCCGGUAGGCAGCAUUGGGCGGUGACUGGCGGAGCUGCUGGGGAGGUGAAAUAAAAGAGAGAGGAAGAAGAAAAAUGACGAGACAAU